GUCUUUUUGAUUAUAAUUUAAGGUCUAAUCUGCUCAAUGAAAAUUUAAAUAGCCGCAGUAUCUUGACUGUGCAAAGGUAGCAUAAUAAUUAGUUUCUUAAUUAGAGACUUGUAUGAAUGAUUGGACAAGAAAAUUUCUGUCUCUUAUUAAUUUUUUUUUGAACUUAAUUUUUAAGUUAAAAUGCUUAAAUUUUUAUAAAAGACGAGAAGACCCCAUAGAGUUUUAUUUUCAUUGAUUUUUAGUAUAAUUUAUUAAAUUGAUAAAUUGGUUGGGGUGACUUAAAGAUUGAAUAAACUCUUUAAAUUUAAAUCAUUGAUUUAUGAAUUAUUAGUCUAAUUUUUUAAGUUUAAAUUAAAUUACCUUGGGGAUAACAGCGUAAUUUCUUUUAAGAGUUCUUAUCAAAUAAGAAGAUUGCGACCUCGAUGUUGGAUUAAAAUUUAUUUUAGGUGUAGAAGCUUGAAAAUUAAGUCUGCUCGACUUUUA
Molecule: ribosomal RNA, 483 nt
Filed under: Pyrocoelia thibetana
Lineage: Eukaryota; Metazoa; Arthropoda; Insecta; Coleoptera; Lampyridae
Description: partial 16S ribosomal RNA
Rfam family: Bacterial large subunit ribosomal RNA
Source: RNAcentral